AGAGUUUGAUCAUGGCUCAGAACGAACGUUGGCGGCGUGGAUUAGGCAUGCAAGUCGAACGAAUCCCCAGGGGGGUAACCCUCUGGGGGGAAGUGGCGAAAGGGGCAGUAAUGCGUGGACAACCUGCCCCCGGGACGGGGAUAGCCUCCCUAACGGGAGGGUAAUACCCGGAGACCCGGCGGAGCGGCAUCGCUCUGCCGGCAAAGGAGUUUCGCCCGGGGAGGGGUUCACGUGCUAUUAGCUAGUUGGCGGGGUGACGGCCCACCAAGGCGAAGAUGGCUAGCGGGUGUGAGAGCACGACCCGCGCCACUGGCACUGAGACACUGGCCAGACUCCUACGGGAGGCUGCAGUCGAGGAUCUUCGGCAAUGGGCGCAAGCCUGACCGAGCGACGCCGCGUGCGCGAUGAAGGCCUUCGGGUUGUAAAGCGCUGUCGAGGGGGAGGAAAGCCCGCAAGGGCCUGACCUAUCCCUGGAGGAAGCACGGGCUAAGUUCGUGCCAGCAGCCGCGGUAAGACGAACCGUGCGAACGUUGUUCGGAAUCACUGGGCUUAAAGGGCGCGUAGGCGGGUCUUCAAGUCGGGGGUGAAAUCUUUCGGCCCAACCGGAAAAGGGCCUCCGAUACUGAAGACCUCGAGGGGGGUAGGGGUCGGCGGAACUUCCGGUGGAGCGGUGAAAUGCGUAGAUAUCGGAAGGAACGCCGGUGGCGAAAGCGGCCGACUGGACCCCUCCUGACGCUGAGGCGCGAAAGCCAGGGGAGCGAACGGGAUUAGAUACCCCCGUAGUCC
Molecule: ribosomal RNA, 786 nt
Filed under: uncultured Planctomycetaceae bacterium
Lineage: Bacteria; Pseudomonadati; Planctomycetota; Planctomycetia; Planctomycetales; Planctomycetaceae
Description: bacterial SSU rRNA
Rfam family: Bacterial small subunit ribosomal RNA
Source: RNAcentral